Molecule: long non-coding RNA, 1961 nt
Organism: Microplitis mediator
Lineage: Eukaryota; Metazoa; Arthropoda; Insecta; Hymenoptera; Braconidae
Exons: 3
Source: RefSeq, a predicted model, not a curated record
AUGAAAAUUUAGAAAUAAACUGGUAUCAAAAACCAACUUGGUCAGGUAGAUAUUUAAAUUAUUAUUCAUAUCACCCAAUUUCACAAAAAAUAGGCAUAAUAUAUCAUUUAAUAGAUAAAGUUUUUUAUAUUGCAGAUGAAAAAUACAAACAAGAAAAUUUAAAAUUAAUUAAAAAUGCUUUAAUAGAUAAUAACUACCCAAUAGAUUUCAUUAACAAAUAUUGUAAUAAGAGAUGGAAACAUCUAGUAGAUAAAAAAAAUAAUAAAAUCAACAAUAGAAACAUUACAAAUAAUUUAGAUAUGUCUAAAACUAUUAGUUUCCCACAUGAUGAUAAUUUGAACAUAUUUCUAAGAAACGUUUUUAGAAAAUAUAAAAUUCCGGUAACCUUUAAAAUUGAAAAUAGUUUAAAACAGUUCUAUAAUAGUGGAAAGGAUCCUAUAAAUCAUUUAGAAAAAUCAGAUUGUAUUUAUAAAGUAAAUUGUAUGAAUUGUGAAAAAUGUUAUGUUAGCCAAACGAAAAGAUGGCUUAAAACUAGAAUAAAUGAACAUAAAAACAAUAUUAAACUUAGCCCAAGCAAACAUAACAUGCUUACAAUUCAUAGAAUUAAUAAAGACCAUAAUUUUAAUUAUGAUCAAGUUAAAAUUUUAGAUACAGAAUCAAAUUACAGAAAAAGAUUAAUAUUAGAAUCAAUAUAUAUAGAAAAAGAUAAAAAUACAGUCAACAAAAGAAAAGAUACAGAAAAUUUAAAUGAGUCUUAUAACAACCCUAUUAAACAAAAAUAGAGUCAAUAUUCACCAACAUUCAUAAAAUUUAAAUUAUACAAAUAAAUUACAAAACCAUAUUAUCUACAAUAGUAGAACUAUAAUAGAGUCAGAUAUAACAACAAUGAACUAAAUUUAAUAGUAAUUAUAAUAUUCACCAACAGUCAUAAUAUUUAAAAUUUAUACAAAUAAAUUAAAAUACCACAUUAUCUACAAUAGUACAAGUAAAAGAUCAAAAAUCAAUGUACCGAUAAAUAAAAUAACUCGAUUACCGACAACUACAAGAUAAAAAAUCAAUGUAUAAAUAAAUAAAAUAACUCUAUUACCGACUACAAACUAACCAAAAAAUAUCACAUUAUAACAUCAAUCGUUGAAGGUACAACAUUAUAAAAUUUCUUUAUAUAUAACAAUAAAAUAACAAUAGUUAAUAAUUAUAAAAUAUAAAUUACUUGUCAAAAUGAAAAAGAAAAAGAAGAAAAAAAUCAUUUACGUAAAUUUUUCACAUUUAAUAAGAUUUAUAAUUAGUAAAAUUGUAUUUAAACUUAAAUAAUAAUUUCAUAUUUGUAUUAAAAAUUUCCACGUUUCAAUAUUGAAGUCUGAAGAUGCCAUCCCCGGGAGGUUGGCGAAAUAUUACUGAAUAAAAUAUUUGAAAUUGGAUUGGAUUGCCAGUGAAGUCAUUUUAUAUUAUUAUUAUUGUUAAUUUUAUUAAUUCUAUAAUUAUUAAUAAUGCUUCUAUUGUUACUAGAAUUUUUUCAUUAUUUUAACUCAAAAUUAAUUAAAAACAAAAUAAAAUUCAAUUACCUGUUGUGGUUAUAACCUCGAAAUUCUUCUUGAAUAUUAUACACAAAUUACAUAUAAUAUAAAUAUAUAUUUGUAAAUAUAAUAAUUAGUAUUUAAAUAACAUAUUUUUGUUUGUGACAAAAUACUUAUUACGCGUAGAAUUAUUGUUAAUUAUUAAUAAAAAAUGUAUCUCUAUUAAGAGAGAAUACCUAAUUGUCAAACCUAAAUAUUUAUAUAUCUAUAUCGUACAAGAGAAUAUUACCACACACAAGUUGGCAGCAGUGCGCGGCGGACAUUUACCGGUUACUAACUCGCACUGGGCGGCGUCGCGCCGCUUUUCAAUUUCUUUCGCAUGAAAAUAUUUUUUUUUAACAAAAUAAUUUAUUUCUUAGGAGCGGCUAAUGCUAGAAAUUCGUUUAG